This is a small nuclear RNA of Urocitellus parryii (Arctic ground squirrel), 103 nucleotides long. NCBI's taxonomy places the organism in Eukaryota, Metazoa, Chordata, Mammalia, Rodentia, Sciuridae. The record is from Ensembl.
ACUUUUAAAAUCUUAAGUAGUCACUAAAAUUGGAAUGAAGAGAAGAUAAGCAUGGCCCCUGUGCAAGGGUGACAUGCAUAUUCGUGAAGCACUCUAUACUUUU